CGGUCAGCCGAAUGGAACCUAUUGAAGAAAAAAGAGAGAGAAUGAGAAAAGAGGAAAAUGACAGUGAAAUGAUGAUGGAUGAGAAUGAAAGAAAUGGAAAUACCCCUGUGCAGGAAGUACCAGAGCUUAGACGUUCCACAAGAAUAAGAGAGCAACCUGUUCGCCUAACUUACCCCUCAUUAGGAAACCCCUUAGCAUUAGUUAUGCAAUCCCUGUUAAGUGGUUUAAGCAAAGCUUUCACACAAGCCCUUGAGUCAGAUGAUUUCCCUGAGGUUAGAUUGCUAACUCCUGAUAGAUCAGUGGUUUUAUAGGUACAUGCAGAGACGCAUGCAAGUUCAGGAGGGGAGGAUGUAACCCCCUUGAGUUAUACUUGAGUUGUUUAAAACAAUUGUAUUAACUUUUCUUUUGUAUACCACAAAGCAAUGUUUCUAUGUUUGCUGCAAUACUACACCUAACCGCUAGGGGGCAGUAAACAAUGCAAUAUGUGAGUGAGAUAUUCAGUGUAAGAUUCAGAUGAAGAAGCCAGCUCAACAUGCUUACACGAGGCUGGCAGUUGAUGUUGCAUCUCAUCUCUGAAACAGUCAAUGCUUCAUUGUGAGUGCUUUUGUUUUUGAGAACUCUGAUUGGUUUUUUUGAAUGUCGAUUCUGUUGAUCCACGGUUGAACGGCGAGCCAGUGCCUGAUCUUUGAUUCAAAGAGCCAUCGCGAUUCCAUGCGGAUCUGUUGAACUUGAGAUAAGCACACAAACACUACCCGGGUAGAAAAAGUAACACAAAAAGGCCUUUACACAUCCACAUUUGAACAUUACACCCAUACACACACACAUAAAGGAGGACUAUUGAGACUUUACUCUGGACAAUUUUUGGGUUCAAUAUCAAGUUUUGUUCUUUGUGUUGAGUAUGAAUCCAUUGUGAAUUGAGACCAUUGUGAUUUCAUUUACAUUGUGGGAAUUGUUCAUUUAAAAUUUUGUAUCUGUAAUAAAAUUGCCGGCUGUUAAUUAAUUGAA
Non-coding RNA from Misgurnus anguillicaudatus (oriental weatherfish), 1005 nucleotides. Lineage: Eukaryota; Metazoa; Chordata; Actinopteri; Cypriniformes; Cobitidae. The record is from RefSeq and is a predicted model, not a curated record.